GGGAGCAGCAGGCCAGAAUAUUCAGGUCGGCACUGAGCCCCGGUGUUGACUCCGCCAUAAGCCCUCCCCCAGUCUCUUUUCCAAGUCUUCCCAGUGCCACCCGGCCCCACUAUCAGUGAAGGGAGCCUCUCCACGUAGCCCAGGGACCAGGCAGGGAUCAGUGCACAUCAGGGCUGGUGUUAAUUGUGCAGGGGAGGGAGGAAAGUAGUUUAAGAGGAAGGGCUAAGCAGUCCAACUCUCUGAGUUCAAAUCCUGUUUUAGUCAGCUCAGGCAGCCAUAUCAAAAUGCCACAGCCUGGGAGGCUUAAACAACAGAAAUGUAUUUCUCUCAGUUCUAGAGGAUGGGAAGACUGAGCUCAAGGUGUCGGCAAGGUUAUCAAAGACAUGCCCUUCUGUCUUGCUCCUUGGAUUACUGUUUCUGGAGGAUGCUACCACCAUGCUAUGAGGGCACUCGAGCAGCCCUGUGGAGAAGACAUGUUGCUGAGGAUACCCAGGCCUCCCACCAACUUGCCAGCUAUGGAAGGGAGCCAUCUUGGAAGUGGAUCCUCCAGCUCCAGUCAAGCCUUAAUAUAAACUGAACUGCAGCCCCAGCCAACACCUUCCCUACAACCUCCUCAGAGACAGUGAGCUGGAGCCACCCUACUCUGCAAUUCCUGACCCUCAGAAACUGUGUGAGAUAAUAAAUGUUUAUUAUUGUCAUAA
Manis pentadactyla (Chinese pangolin) is the source of this 701-nucleotide long non-coding RNA. RefSeq lists it as uncharacterized. The record is from RefSeq and is a predicted model, not a curated record. Lineage: Eukaryota; Metazoa; Chordata; Mammalia; Pholidota; Manidae. The transcript is spliced from 2 exons.